Molecule: ribosomal RNA, 307 nt
Filed under: uncultured bacterium
Lineage: Bacteria
Description: bacterial SSU rRNA
Rfam family: Bacterial small subunit ribosomal RNA
Source: RNAcentral
UCAGGCCUAACACAUGCAAGUCGAACGAUGAAGAAAGAGCUUGCUCCGGUGGAUUAGUGGCGAACGGGUGAGUAACACGUGAGCAAUCUGCCCUUGACUCUGGGAUAACUGCGGGAAACUGUAGCUAAUACCGGAUACGAGGCUUGGAGGCAUCUCCAGGUCUGGAAAGAAUUUCGGUCAAGGAUGAGCUCGGGGCCUAUCAGCUAGUUGGUGAGGUAAUGGCUCACCAAGGCGACGACGGGUAGCCGGCCUGAGAGGGGGACCGGCCACACUGGGACUGAGACACGGCCCAGACUCCUACGGGAGG